UCUGCGGUAGGCCUGGGGUAGAGCUAGGUAGGCCCUACUUCCUCCAUCAACAUGGUUAUGGUUCCUCGGCGUGAGGUUUACUCUGCGGUAGGCCUGGGGUAGAGCUAGGUAGGCCCUACUUCCUCCAUCAACAUGGUUAUGGUUCCUCGGCGUGAGGUUUACUCUGCGGUAGGCCUGGGGUAGAGCUAGGUAGGCCCUACUUCCUCCAUCAACAUGGUUAUGGUUCCUCGGCGUGAGGUUUACUCUGCGGUAGGCCUGGGGUAGAGCUAGGUAGGCCCUACUUCCUCCAUCAACAUGGUUAUGGUUCCUCGGCGUGAGGUUUACUCUGCGGUAGGCUGGGGUAGAGCUAGGUAGGCCCUACUUCCUCCAUCAACAUGGUUAUGGUUCCUCGGCGUGAGGUUUACUCUGCGGUAGGCCUGGGGUAGAGCUAGGUAGGCCCUACUUCCUCCAUCAACAUGGUUAUGGUUCCUCGGCGUGAGGUUUACUCUGCGGUAGGCUGGGGUAGAGCUAGGUAGGCCCUACUUCCUCCAUCAACAUGGUUAUGGUUCCUCGGCGUGAGGUUUACUCUGCGGUAGGCCUGGGGUAGAGCUAGGUAGGCCCUACUUCCUCCAUCAACAUGGUUAUGGUUCCUCGGCGUGAGGUUUACUCUGCGGUAGGCCUGGGGUAGAGCUAGGUAGGCCCUACUUCCUCCAUCAACAUGGUUAUGGUUCCUCGGCGUGAGGUUUACUCUGCGGUAGGCUGGAGUAGAGCUAGGUAGGCCCUACUUCCUCCAUCAACAUGGUUAUGGUUCCUCGGCGUGAGGUUUACUCUGCGGUAGGCCUGGGGUAGAGCUAGGUAGGCCCUACUUCCUCCAUCAACAUGGUUAUGGUUCCUCGGCGUGAGGUUUACUCUGCGGUAGGCUGGAGUAGAGCUAGGUAGGCCCUACUUCCUCCAUCAACAUGGUUAUGGUUCCUCGGCGUGAGGUUUACUCUGUGGUAGGCUGGAGUAGAGCUAGGUAGGCCCUACUUCCUCCAUCAACAUGGUUAUGGUUCCUCGGCGUGAGGUUUACUCUGCGGUAGGCUGGAGUAGAGCUAGGUAGGCCCUACUUCCUCCAUCAACAUGGUUAUGGUUCCUCGGCGUGAGGUUUACUCUGCGGUAGGCUGGAGUAGAGCUCGGUAGGCCCUACUUCCUCCAUCAACAUGGUUAUGAUUCCUCGGCGU
This is a long non-coding RNA of Oncorhynchus keta (chum salmon), 1199 nucleotides long. RefSeq lists it as uncharacterized. NCBI's taxonomy places the organism in Eukaryota, Metazoa, Chordata, Actinopteri, Salmoniformes, Salmonidae. The transcript is spliced from 3 exons. The record is from RefSeq and is a predicted model, not a curated record.